AAAUAACUACAGCAACUAGCAUAAUAAUGUAAAGAAGCAGCGGCCAUCGCAGUCCAGAAACGGGCGAUGGCGAUGGCGAUGCCAUAGACAAUUUUCAUAAUGGACAGAAAUAAAUCUGAAGAGCAGAAGCUACAGCUGAAGCUGAAGGAACAGCAGCAGCAGCAGCAGAAGCAGCUGCAGCCUGGGAAACUGAUCGACGAGCACAACUUAAUUAAUAAACUAAUGAGCAGUUUGCAGCCAAGUCCACCGAAGUUCCAAGACCCCCCUUCCAACCCGGUGGAGUUCAUCUGCGAGAUUAUCUACAUAAAGUAGUCCCCGACGCGGACGUGCAUCGUGCUCGGAUAUGGCUAAAAAGCCCAGCCUAUUUGCUAAGAGAUCGUCCAGAAAUUAAAAUAAAUGUGCAACGUGCAAAAAUGCCAAAGACCCCAACCGAAAGUAAAACCGGAACGUGUUCAGCGCCAAAAUACGGCGAAACGGAACGAAACGAAAAGUAAGGCGGGCAAAAAACUGAUUUAUGCAUAUGGCAACGGGACGGACUGUACGUGGAAAUCCCGAUGAGGCAUCUUGUGGAAAUUCGUUUUGCAUAUUAUAAUUGUGUUCAAAUGAUGGCAAGAUUUUCAUUCAGUUAAUAGUUUAGUAUCAUAUAGAAUGUCUAAUUACAUUUUAUAUAUCCACAACUUUUAAGAACUUACAAAAGUAAAUAAAAAACAAAUUGUUGGUGCUUAGCAGAAU
Molecule: non-coding RNA, 732 nt
Organism: Drosophila melanogaster (fruit fly)
Lineage: Eukaryota; Metazoa; Arthropoda; Insecta; Diptera; Drosophilidae
Source: Ensembl